This is a long non-coding RNA of Daphnia carinata, 1130 nucleotides long. RefSeq lists it as uncharacterized. Lineage: Eukaryota; Metazoa; Arthropoda; Branchiopoda; Diplostraca; Daphniidae. The record is from RefSeq and is a predicted model, not a curated record. The transcript has 2 exons.
ACCUUUUGUAGCAGACCUCUCAGAGAUUGUUCAAUGUCGUCUGCCGUAUUAGUAACGGUUAUCUGGUUUUCUUCGCUGCAGCCAAUACCAAUAGAUAUUGGAACGAAUGUAGGACUUUCAAUAUUAGGCUAAAUUUGACCAGGAAGAUGGCAAACCAACUAUAACCUGCAAAGAAAGCAUGACACACACAGUAGCAUCCACCCUGGCUAACCGUUGAACCGCCGUUGGGCUACUCUUUGUUUUAAUCAGUACUUUUUGGCGGACACCGAGUGCAACCUGCUUGAAUUCGUCAGUUGUUUUUGUCCACACCAACAAAAUGGAUUCAACCAUAUCCUCAAGUCGUACAUACUGCUUGCUGCAACGUUGACACAUUAAAAUUUAACAGGUAUAUUACGACAUAAUGUAGAUAAUUUGUUUUUCUACCUAGGUAGACCUUUCAAUCGAAUGCUGCUCAACUUUGAUCGCAAAUGAACUGCCGGACGAUGUAUCAGAGGAUGACAUCGAAGUAGAUUGCGUUGGAUAACCCGAAAUGCCUCUUUGAAAUUGUUUUUACUAUUAUCCAGUACAAGUCCAUAUUCUACUGGUGGUAUUAAUGGAAAUGCUAAAUUGAUUGGUUUCAGGUUUUUCAGGGCUGAGCAAUAAUCUGAAUCAACUUCUUGCAACAACUCAUCUAUUAACGAUGGAUUCCGAGUCUGUAAGCCUACACGCUGUAUCAACCGGAAUCAAUAUGAGUUUAAUUCUUCUACGUAAAAUUAUCACACUUACCUUGAGCAACGAUUCCUUCCAGGCAGAGGGAAAUGGAACAAGUGACUUAUUCCCAAGAGGAAUUAUAGCUGUAGGAUUAGCUGGAUUUUUGUUGGCUGGCCGCUUUUUCCGUGAGAUAUUACCGUCGUGGUGAAUGCCUUUCCAGGCAUAUCGAUCAGCUAUUUCACCAAUAUGACGGAAGAAGAUGGCCCGUUCUUUAUCUUUCUCUCGGAUUUCAGCCUUCGCCUCGGAGAGUCGUUGCUUUUCACUGGCCUGUUGUUUAGUUUUUCGCCUGAUCAUUUUACCUGCACUUUUUUUUGUGUUCUUCCUAUCUAGGUCCUGAACUGACCAUUCUGGCAAACAUUUGCAUACACUGAUUAUGUCAA